UGGGGAAUAUUGCACAAUGGGCGAAAGCCUGAUGCAGCGACGCCGCGUGAGGGAUGACGGCCUUCGGGUUGUAAACCUCUUUCAGUAGGGACGAAGCGCAAGUGACGGUACCUGCAGAAGAAGCACCGGCUAACUACGUGCCAGCAGCCGCGGUAAUACGUAGGGUGCGAGCGUUGUCCAGAAUUACUGGGCGUAAAGAGCUCGUAGGCGGUUUGUCACGUCGUCUGUGAAAUCCUAGGGCUUAACCCUGGACGUGCAGGCGAUACGGGCUGACUUGAGUACUACAGGGGAGACUGGAAUUUCUGGUGUAGCGGUGGAAUGCACAGAUAUCAGGAAGAACACCGAUGGCGAAGGCAGGUCUCUGGGUAGUAACUGACGCUGAGGAGCGAAAGCAUGGGUAGCGAACAGG
Molecule: ribosomal RNA, 409 nt
Filed under: bacterium
Lineage: Bacteria
Description: partial 16S ribosomal RNA
Rfam family: Bacterial small subunit ribosomal RNA
Source: RNAcentral